GAUGAACGCUAGCGGCAGGCCUAAUACAUGCAAGUCAAGGGGCCAGUAAUGGCACCGGCGGACGGGUGCGUAACGCGUACACAACGUACCUUUGGGGUGGGGGAUAGCAUCGGGAAACCGGUGGUAAUACCCCCAUGGUAUUGGGAGACUGGCAUCAGUUUCAAUUAAAGACUACGCCCAAAGAUCGGUGUGCGUCUGAUUAGCUAAGUUGGUAGGGUAACGGCCUACCAAGGCGACGAUCAGUAGGGGAUGUGAGAGCAUGAUCCCCCACACGGGUACUGAGACACGGACCCGACUCCUACGGGAGGCAGCAGUAAGGAAUAUUGGACAAUGGUCGGAAGACUGAUCCAGCCAUGCCGCGUGAAGGAUGAAGGCGCUCAGCGUUGUAAACUUCUUUGUACGGGACAAAAUGCGACCUGCGGGUUGUACUGAGGGUACCGUAAGAAUAAGGCAACCGGCUAACUCCGUG
This 469-nucleotide ribosomal RNA is filed under the name uncultured bacterium. RNAcentral's name for it is "bacterial SSU rRNA". It matches the Rfam family "Bacterial small subunit ribosomal RNA", at positions 28 to 507 of the family's 1533-position model. The record is from RNAcentral.